AGCUCCAAUAGCGUAUAUUAAAGUUGCUGCAGUUAAAAAGCUCGUAGUUGGAUUUGUGGCGCGGUCGUCCGGCGGGGCUUCCGGGUUCGUUGUAUCCCGGGGCCGUUUGUCUGGGUUCUUGGCCGCCCCAUUCUUCGGUAGCGUGUCGCUGGCAUUAGGUUGUCGGCUUCUUCGCGCCGAUCGUUUACUGUGAAAAAAUUAGAGUGUUCAAAGCAGGCUUAGGCCGUUGGAUACAUUAGCAUGGAAUAAUGAGAUAGGGCCACGGCGGUCUAUUUUGUUGGUUUGCACGUUGUGGUAAUGAUUAACAGGAACGGUUGGGGGUAUUCGUAUUCAAUUGUCAGAGGUGAAAUUCUUGGAUUUAUGGAAGACGAACUACUGCGAAAGCAUUUACCAAGGAUGUUUUCA
This 405-nucleotide ribosomal RNA is filed under the name uncultured eukaryote. Its description in RNAcentral is "SSU rRNA". It matches the Rfam family "Eukaryotic small subunit ribosomal RNA", at positions 587 to 972 of the family's 1831-position model. The record is from RNAcentral.